Molecule: ribosomal RNA, 1943 nt
Filed under: Aestuariivita sp.
Lineage: Bacteria; Pseudomonadati; Pseudomonadota; Alphaproteobacteria; Rhodobacterales; Paracoccaceae
Description: partial 23S ribosomal RNA
Rfam family: Bacterial large subunit ribosomal RNA
Source: RNAcentral
GGAUGGGUAAUGGGGCCCCACAGGCUUACUGAUCCUAACCAAACUCCGAAUACCGAGGAGAACUGUACAGCAGACACACUGCGGAUGCUAACGUCCGUAGUGGAGAGGGAAACAACCCUGACCUCCAGCUAAGGCCCCUAAUUCAUGGCUAAGUGGGAAAGCAGGUGGGACGACCAAGACAACCAGGAGGUUGGCUUAGAGGCAGCCAUCCUUUAAAGAUAGCGUAAUAGCUCACUGGUCGAAAUAAGUUGUCCUGCGGCGAAGAUGUAACGGGGCUCAAGCCAUGAGCCGAAGCUGAGGAGUGCGUAAGCACUGGUAGCGGAGCGUAGUGUGAGUAAGUUUGUUGUCCGAGUGCCGACAUUCGUGUUGGCAUUCAUAUGUGGCGGCAAGCUUUCUGAGAAGCCGUCCUGUGAGGGACCGGUGGAGAGAUCACUAGUGAGAAUGAUGACAUGAGUAGCGACAAAGAGUGUGAGAAACACUCUCGCCGGAAGUCCAAGGGUUCCUGUUUAAAGCUAAUCUGAGCAGGGUGAGCCGGCCCCUAAGCUGAGGCCGAAAGGCGUAGGCGAUGGGAAUCAGGUUAAUAUUCCUGAGCCAGGAGGAUGUGACGGAUCGUAAGGGUAGUACAACCUUAUUGGAUUGGUUGUGCUGCUGAGCGGUUCCUGGAAAUAGCCCUCCAUCAGACCGUACCCCAAACCGACACAGGUGGACAGGUAGAGAAUACCAAGGCGCUUGAGAGAACGAUGUUGAAGGAACUCGGCAAAAUACCUCCGUAAGUUCGCGAGAAGGAGGCCCGGUUCUUAGGCAACUAGGAGUCGGGGGCACAAACCAGGGGGUGGCGACUGUUUACUAAAAACACAGGGCUCUGCGAAGUCGCAAGACGACGUAUAGGGUCUGACGCCUGCCCGGUGCCGGAAGGUUAAGGAGAGGGGUGCAAGCUCUGAACCGAAGCCCCGGUAAACGGCGGCCGUAACUAUAACGGUCCUAAGGUAGCGAAAUUCCUUGUCGGGUAAGUUCCGACCUGCACGAAUGGCGUAACGACUUCCCCGCUGUCUCCAGCAUCGACUCAGCGAAAUUGAAUUGCCUGUCAAGAUGCAGGCUUCCCGCGGUUAGACGGAAAGACCCCGUGCACCUUUACUAUAGCUUCGCACUGGCAUCAGGCCAUGCAUGUGCAGGAUAGGUGGUAGGCUUUGAAACCGUGACGCCAGUCGUGGUGGAGCCUCCCUUGAGAUACCACCCUUGCAUUGCUUGGUGUCUAACCGCGGCCCGUUAUCCGGGCCCGGGACCAUGCGUGGUGGGUAGUUUGACUGGGGCGGUCGCCUCCUAAAGCGUAACGGAGGCGUGCGAAGGUUGGCUCAGAGCGGUCGGAAAUCGCUCGUUGAGUGCAAUGGCAGAAGCCAGCCUGACUGCGAGACUGACAGGUCGAGCAGAGUCGAAAGACGGCCAUAGUGAUCCGGUGGUUCCGAGUGGAAGGGCCAUCGCUCAACGGAUAAAAGGUACGCCGGGGAUAACAGGCUGAUACUGCCCAAGAGUCCAUAUCGACGGCAGUGUUUGGCACCUCGAUGUCGGCUCAUCUCAUCCUGGGGCUGAAGCAGGUCCCAAGGGUACGGCUGUUCGCCGUUUAAAGAGGUACGUGAGCUGGGUUUAGAACGUCGUGAGACAGUUCGGUCCCUAUCUGCCGUGGGUGUAGGAAACUUGAGAGGAGUUGCCCCUAGUACGAGAGGACCGGGGUGAACGAUCCACUGGUGGACCUGUUGUGGCGCCAGCCGCAUCGCAGGGUAGCUAUGAUCGGACAGGAUAACCGCUGAAGGCAUCUAAGCGGGAAGCCCCCCUCGAAACAAGGUAUCCCUAAGGGCCGUGGAAGACCACCACGUCGAUAGGCCGGAGAUGUAAGCAUGGUAACAUGUUCAGUUGACCGGUACUAAUUGCCCGAUCGGCUUGAUUUG